RNAcentral lists this ribosomal RNA (253 nucleotides) under uncultured bacterium. RNAcentral's name for it is "partial 16S ribosomal RNA". It matches the Rfam family "Bacterial small subunit ribosomal RNA", at positions 524 to 776 of the family's 1533-position model. The record is from RNAcentral.
UACGUAGGGGCCUAGCGUUGUCCGGAUUUACUGGGCGUAAAGAGCGCGCAGGCGGCUCGGUAAGUCUGCUGUGAAAUCUCCCGGCUUAACUGGGAGGGGGCAGCGGAUACUGUCGGGCUUGAGGCAGGUAGAGGAAGGUGGAAUUCCCGGUGUAGUGGUGAAAUGCGUAGAUAUCGGGAGGAACACCAGUGGCGAAGGCGGCCUUCUGGGCCUGUCCUGACGCUGAGGCGCGAAAGCGUGGGGAGCGAACCGG